CGGGAAAAAUUGAACUUGAUUUUUGUCUUACAAAAAUUCGUAUUUAAACCAAAAAAGGUUAAUCUGUUUAGCAAAAUAAUGGUGUAAAAAUUAAAGAAAAAUAUGGAACUCGGCAAACUAGCUCCGAACCUUAGGAAGAAGGAGUGGCAAUUUUAACAAAUAAAUUGCUGUAAAAAAAGGAAAUCCACAACUGUUUAUUAAAAACACAUGACCAUGCUAAUUUUUAAAAGAAAGUAUAUGGUCUGACUUGUGCUAAAUGCUUGAAAAUUGAAAAAAAAAUUGUUUUGCUUUUUUAUAAAAACGAGCUAAUAGCAGUCUUAUUCCUGAGGAUUGUAAUGUAGCGAAAUUCCUUGUCCACUAAAUAUGGUCCCGCAUGAAUCAAGUAAUGAUGGAUUUGCUGUCAUGUUUUUCUGUUUUGUGAAUUUGAAGUAGGAGUGCAGAUUCUCUUUUCCAAAAUUAAGACGAAAAGACCCUAUAAAACUUUAC
This 486-nucleotide ribosomal RNA is filed under the name Emiliania huxleyi. Its description in RNAcentral is "partial Bacterial large subunit ribosomal RNA". It matches the Rfam family "Bacterial large subunit ribosomal RNA", at positions 1609 to 2104 of the family's 2925-position model. Lineage: Eukaryota; Haptophyta; Isochrysidales; Noelaerhabdaceae. The record is from RNAcentral.